RNAcentral lists this ribosomal RNA (497 nucleotides) under uncultured bacterium. Its description in RNAcentral is "partial 16S ribosomal RNA". It matches the Rfam family "Bacterial small subunit ribosomal RNA", at positions 28 to 507 of the family's 1533-position model. The record is from RNAcentral.
GAUGAACGCUGGCGGCGUGCCUAAUACAUGCAAGUCGAGCGAACAGAUGAGGAGCUUGCUCCUCUGACGUUAGCGGCGGACGGGUGAGUAACACGUGGAUAACCCACCUAUAAGACUGGGAUAACUUCGGGAAACCGGAGCUAAUACCGGAUAAUAUAUUGAACCGCAUGGUUCAAUAGUGAAAGACGGUUUUGCUGGCACUUAUAGAUGGAUCCGCGCCGCAUUAGCUAGUUGGUAAGGUAACGGCUUACCAAGGCGACGAUGCGUAGCCGACCUGAGAGGGUGAUCGGCCACACUGGAGCUGAGACACGGUCCAGACUCCUACGGGAGGCAGCAGUAGGGAAUCUUCCGCAAUGGGCGAAAGCCUGACGGAGCAACGCCGCGUGAGUGAUGAAGGUCUUCGGAUCGUAAAACUCUGUUAUUGGGGAAGAACAAAUGUGUAAGUAACUAUGCACGUCUUGACGGUACCUAAUCAGAAAGCCACGGCUAACUACGUG